CAGACAUGGAUCCUGCCCUCGAG
Molecule: non-coding RNA, 23 nt
Filed under: Rattus norvegicus (Norway rat)
Lineage: Eukaryota; Metazoa; Chordata; Mammalia; Rodentia; Muridae
Source: RNAcentral